RNAcentral lists this long non-coding RNA (1006 nucleotides) under Mus musculus (house mouse). RNAcentral's name for it is "long non-coding RNA chr16:64911272-64912278". Lineage: Eukaryota; Metazoa; Chordata; Mammalia; Rodentia; Muridae. The record is from RNAcentral.
AUGGUGAAGGUCAGUGUGAACAGAUUUGGCCGUAUUGGGCGCCUAGUAAUCAGGGCUGCCAUCUGUUCUCCACUUGGCAAAGUGGAGAUAGUUGCCAUCAAUGACCUUUCAUUGACCUCAACUACAUGGUCUACAUGUUCCAGUAUGACUCCACCCACGGCAAAUUCAACGGCACAGUCAAGGCUGAGAAUGGGAAGCUUGUCAUCAACGGGAAGCCUAUUACCAUCUUCCAGGAGUGAGAUCCUGCUAACAUCAAAUGGGGCUGAGGCCGGUGCUGAGUAUGUCGUGGAGUCUACUGGUGUCUUCACCACCAUGGAGAAGGCCGGGGCCCACUUGAAGGGUGGAGCCAAAAGGGUCAUCAUCUCCGCCCCUUCUGCCGAUGCCCCCAUGUUUGUAUUGGGUGUGAACCACGAGAAAUAUGACAACUCACUCAAGAUUGUCAGAAAUGCAUCCUGCACCACCAACUCCUUAGCCCCCCUGGCAAGGUCAUCCAUGACAACUUUGGCAUUAUGGAAGGGCUCAUGACCACGGUCUGUGCCAUCACUGCCACUCAGAAGACUGUGGAUGGCCCCUCUGGAAAGCUGUGGUGUGAUAGCUGUGGGGCUGCCUAGAACAUCAUUGCUGUAUCCACUGGUGCUGCCAAGGCUGUGGGCAAAGUCAUCCCAGAGCUGAACGGGAAGCUCACUGGCAUGGCCUUCCGUGUUCCUAUCCCCAGUGUAUCAGUUGUGGAUCUAAAUGCCUCCUGGAGAAACCUGCCAAGUAUGAUGACAUCAAGAAGAUGGUGAAGCAGGCAUCUGAGGGCCAACUGAAGGGCAUCCUGGGCUACACUGAGGACCAGGUUGUCUCCUAUGACUUUAAAUGUAACUCCCAGUCUUCCACCUUUGAUGCUGGGUCUGGCAUUGUUCUCAAUGACAACUGUGUAAAGCUCAUUUCUUGGUACGAAAAUGAAUAAGGCUACAGCAACAGGGUGGUAGACCUCAUAGCUUAUAUGGUCUCAAGGGAGUAA